Molecule: long non-coding RNA, 1198 nt
Filed under: Numida meleagris (helmeted guineafowl)
Lineage: Eukaryota; Metazoa; Chordata; Aves; Galliformes; Numididae
Description: lncRNA (ENSNMEG00000020800.1)
Source: RNAcentral
CCCAAGGCUCCAGCUUCGCAGGUGCAGACUCAGCAGCCAUCAAGACUCGCUAUGAUUAAUGGCUUUUUCCAAUGUGUUGCCUUACGCUAAUACAGAGAGCUAACUUUUAUUAAAUUAUGGAUGAUCUGUUGGUGGAUGCUGGUCACCUACAGGCUCACAUCUGUAAGGAAGCUGCUGAAACUGGUGCAGCCUGGCUAUCUCAGAAACAAGCCAGCCUAAGCUUUGUGUUACCUUUACAUAUGGACCUCCUGCUUAUAUUGCCUUCUACCCAGAUGUUCAAGGGAGGUGUUUAGGAAAACCAUGAUGCCAGAGCCAGAGAGAUAAAGGAAACCAUUGGUCCAUAUGGAAACCAUUCAAAAAUGCACCAUAAGCCCCCCUGAACAUGUCCAAAACCAGACAGAAGUGUAUCUGAAGUCCCAAGGAACAUCUUACACAAAGGCACAAACUCAUACAACGUUAUAGCCCAGACAAAGUCACCCAGCCAUUAUCAAUACUAAAGAAGUGACCAAGGCAACAAACAAAAAUAGAAGCCAUCUCCCUGCCCCCCACAGGGGCUGGUAGUUCUCACUGACCCACCCCUCACACAGUAAUUUGGGUCCACCACAGAUAAGCCAAGAGCCACCAGGCUCUCCCAUCCCUCCAGCACAGCCCCAGAGCUAUUCCCUUCUGCCUGGAACAAGGACAAGCCUUAGAGAACAGGAAGCCCUCUGAACCACAGCCCUAGCAUUCCUAGCAAAAUAGCAGUAAAAUCAUCAUGCAAAAAGCACCCCUUACCUGCAAAGCCUUCCUCAAAGAUCUCAAGAUGACAACUUUGGGCAGUGUGCAAAGCACCCAGCACACAGUAAUUGAUAGCUUGCAGCUGAUGUCUCUCCCCACAGGUGCAGCCCAUUGGGAAAGGCUCUACCAUGAGGCAUGCCAGCAUCCCAUAAACCCUAUAAAUGCUGGGAGAGGAAGUCGUGUAGGUAGCUUUUGUUUAGUGAGGGUGCUCAGUGGGGGGGGGGUACUGUGUCUCAUCAAAUGGGCCUGGUGGGCAGCAGAAUGCUGCUGUGUGUUGCCCCUGCUGGGUGAGGAGGCUGCUGGCAAGCUCUUAUCUUUGAGUGCUGGUUACAGGUCUGCCAAAAUGUGGUGGAUGAUGUGUUUAUUGCCCAUAGUAACCAGAACAGAGUCCUUCUAUGUGGGGCAGGAGGAGAGUGACUGA